This 402-nucleotide ribosomal RNA is filed under the name bacterium. Its description in RNAcentral is "partial 16S ribosomal RNA". It matches the Rfam family "Bacterial small subunit ribosomal RNA", at positions 355 to 776 of the family's 1533-position model. The record is from RNAcentral.
UGGGGAAUUUUGCACAAUGGGGGAAACCCUGAUGCAGCGACGCCGCGUGAUUUAGAAGGCCUUCGGGUUGUAAAAAUCUUUUUUACGGGAUGAAAAUGACAGUACCGUAAGAAUAAGGUCCGGCUAAAUACGUGCCAGCAGCCGCGGUAAUACGUAUGGACCGAGCGUUGUCCGGAAUCAUUGGGCGUAAAGGGUACGUAGGCGGCCUAGUAAGUUAGAAGUGAAAUAAUAUAGCUCAACUAUAUAAAGCUUUUAAAACUGCUAGGCUUGAGAGAUGGAAGGGAAAGGGGAAUUCCUAGUGUAGCGGUGAAAUGCGCAGAUAUUAGGAAGAAUACCGGUGGCGAAGGCGACUUUCUGGUCAUCAUCUGACGCUGAGGUACGAAAGCGUGGGUAGCAAACAGG